GAUCAUGGCUCAGGAUGAACGCUGGCGGCGCGCCUAACACAUGUAAGUCGAACGAGUAAGACGCCUUCGGGCGUGGAUAGAGUGGCGAACGGGUGAGUAACACGUGACCAACCUGCCCCCUCCUCCGGGACAACCUCGGGAAACCGAGGCUAAUACCGGAUACUCCGGGCACCCCGCAUGGGAUGCCCGGGAAAUCCCUGGCGGGAGGGGAUGGGGUCGCGGCCCAUCAGGUAGACGGCGGGGUAACGGCCCACCGUGCCUGCAACGGGUAG
RNAcentral lists this ribosomal RNA (272 nucleotides) under uncultured bacterium. Its description in RNAcentral is "partial 16S ribosomal RNA". It matches the Rfam family "Bacterial small subunit ribosomal RNA", at positions 15 to 286 of the family's 1533-position model. The record is from RNAcentral.